UAAUUGAUUCAUUUUUUUUCCCCCACAGGUUGUCAUGUUGUACUUCUUCAUGGUAGAUUAACUCUGUUGUCAAGUAUGCCUAGGAGCCUGGAGUAUGUGACAUGUUACUACAUAACUGGAAGCUAGAAGACUCAAGAUUAUGGGUUUUGCAAUAGGAACAAGCAUUAGAAGGAUCUGGCUUAUGCUAUUUCGUUUAUGCCUUACUACUGGAGGACAAUGCAGGUAUUGUAGUAACAUCUCUGCUUAAAUUAUCGCCGAUGCAAAAUUUAGUCUAGCAUACAAGAAAAGUUAAUCAUUGCAUAUACUAACAGGAUGGGGUAUAAUGUAAAAAUUUGAUCUGUUCAA
Molecule: long non-coding RNA, 345 nt
Organism: Macadamia integrifolia
Lineage: Eukaryota; Viridiplantae; Streptophyta; Magnoliopsida; Proteales; Proteaceae
Exons: 2
Source: RefSeq, a predicted model, not a curated record